CCUACGGGAGGCAGCAGUGGGGAAUAUUGCACAAUGGGGGAAACCCUGAUGCAGCGACGCCGCGUGAGUGAAGAAGUAAUUCGUUAUGUAAAGCUCUAUCAGCAGGGAAGAAAAUGACGGUACCUGAGUAAGAAGCCCCGGCUAACUACGUGCCAGCAGCCGCGGUAAUACGUAGGGGGCAAGCGUUAUCCGGAUUUACUGGGUGUAACGGGAGCGUAGACGGCAGUGCAAGUCUGGAGUGAAAGGCGGGGGCUCAACCCCCGGACUGCUCUGGAAACUGUACGGCUGGAGUGCAGGAGAGGUAAGUGGAAUUCCUAGGGUAGCGGUGAAAUGCGUAGAUAUUAGGAGGAACACCAGUGGCGAAGGCGGCUUACUGGACUGUAACUGACGUUGAGGCUCGAAAGCGUGGGGAGCAAACAGGAUUAGAUACCCGAGUAGUC
RNAcentral lists this ribosomal RNA (440 nucleotides) under uncultured bacterium. RNAcentral describes it as "partial 16S ribosomal RNA". It matches the Rfam family "Bacterial small subunit ribosomal RNA", at positions 338 to 795 of the family's 1533-position model. The record is from RNAcentral.